GAUGAACGCUGGCGGUAUGCUUAACACAUGCAAGUCGAACGGACUCUUCGGAGUUACUGGCGGAUGGGUGAGUAACGCGUGGGAAUAUGGCUUUGGGUUCGGGUCAACCACUGGAAACGGUGCCUAAUACCGGAUGUGCCGAUAGGUAAAAGAGAAAUUGCCUGGAGAUGAGUGCUCGUCUGAUUAUCUAGUGGGUGAGGUAAAGGCUCACCAAGGCAGUGAUCAGUAACUGGUCUGAGAGGAUGACCAGCCAGACGGGGACUGAGACACGGCCCAGACUCCUACGGGAGGCAGCCGGAAAGAAUGAUGCGGCAUGGCCGGAAGGGUGACGGGGCAAUACCGCGUGAGGGAAGAAGUCUCUGGGGAGGAAAACGUCUAUUCUUAGGGAAGAACAAUGUGACGGUACCUAAAGAAUCAGCAUCGGCUAACUACGUG
Molecule: ribosomal RNA, 435 nt
Filed under: uncultured bacterium
Lineage: Bacteria
Description: partial 16S ribosomal RNA
Rfam family: Bacterial small subunit ribosomal RNA
Source: RNAcentral